Molecule: transfer RNA, 73 nt
Filed under: Treponema sp.
Lineage: Bacteria; Pseudomonadati; Spirochaetota; Spirochaetia; Treponematales; Treponemataceae
Description: tRNA-Phe
Rfam family: tRNA
About the family: Transfer RNA (tRNA) molecules are approximately 80 nucleotides in length. Their secondary structure includes four short double-helical elements and three loops (D, anti-codon, and T loops). Further hydrogen bonds mediate the characteristic L-shaped molecular structure. tRNAs have two regions of fundamental functional importance: the anti-codon, which is responsible for specific mRNA codon recognition, and the 3' end, to which the tRNAs corresponding amino acid is attached (by aminoacyl-tRNA synthetases). tRNAs cope with the degeneracy of the genetic code in two manners: having more than one tRNA (with a specific anti-codon) for a particular amino acid; and 'wobble' base-pairing, i.e. permitting non-standard base-pairing at the 3rd anti-codon position.
Source: RNAcentral
GCCGUUGUAGCUCAGUCGGUAGAGCAAAGGACUGAAAAUCCUUGUGUCGAGGGUUCGAUUCCCUCUGACGGCA